GAUGAACGCUGGCGGCGUGCCUAAUACAUGCAAGUCGAGCGAACAGACGAGGAGCUUGCUCCUCUGACGUUAGCGGCGGACGGGUGAGUAACACGUGGAUAACCUACCUAUAAGACUGGGAUAACUUCGGGAAACCGGAGCUAAUACCGGAUAACAUGUUGAACCGCAUGGUUCAACAGUGAAAGACGGUUUUGCUGUCACUUAUAGAUGGAUCCGCGUCGCAUUAGCUAGUUGGUAAGGUAACGGCUUACCAAGGCAACGAUGCGUAGCCGACCUGAGAGGGUGAUCGGCCACACUGGAACUGAGACACGGUCCAGACUCCUACGGGAGGCAGCAGUAGGGAAUCUUCCGCAAUGGGCGAAAGCCUGACGGAGCAACGCCGCGUGAGUGAAGAAGGUCUUUGGAUCGUAAAACUCUGUUAUUAGGGAAGAACAAAUGUGUAAGUAACUAUGCACGUCUUGACGGUACCUAAUCAGAAAGCCACGGCUAACUACGUG
Molecule: ribosomal RNA, 497 nt
Filed under: uncultured bacterium
Lineage: Bacteria
Description: partial 16S ribosomal RNA
Rfam family: Bacterial small subunit ribosomal RNA
Source: RNAcentral